Unclassified non-coding RNA from Macaca fascicularis (crab-eating macaque), 148 nucleotides. It matches the Rfam family "Metazoan signal recognition particle RNA". Rfam says of the family: The signal recognition particle (SRP) is a universally conserved ribonucleoprotein. The record is from Ensembl. NCBI's taxonomy places the organism in Eukaryota, Metazoa, Chordata, Mammalia, Primates, Cercopithecidae.
GCUGGGCAUGGUGGUGCAUGCCUGUAAUCCCAGCCACUUGGGAGGCUGAGGCAGGAGAAUCGCUUGAACCCAGGAGGCGGAGGUUGCAGUGAGCUGAGAUUGUGCCACUGCACUCCAGCCUGGGUGACAGAGUGAGACUCUGCCUCAA